RNAcentral lists this ribosomal RNA (254 nucleotides) under uncultured bacterium. RNAcentral's name for it is "partial 16S ribosomal RNA". It matches the Rfam family "Bacterial small subunit ribosomal RNA", at positions 526 to 779 of the family's 1533-position model. The record is from RNAcentral.
CGUAGGUGGCAAGCGUUGUCCGGAUUUAUUGGGCGUAAAGCGAGCGCAGGCGGAUUGAUAAGUCUGAUGUGAAAGCCUUCGGCUCAACCGAAGAACUGCAUCAGAAACUGUCAAUCUUGAGUGCAGAAGAGGAGAGUGGAACUCCAUGUGUAGCGGUGGAAUGCGUAGAUAUAUGGAAGAACACCAGUGGCGAAGGCGGCUCUCUGGUCUGUAACUGACGCUGAGGCUCGAAAGCAUGGGUAGCGAACAGGAUU